Molecule: ribosomal RNA, 203 nt
Filed under: uncultured bacterium
Lineage: Bacteria
Description: partial 16S ribosomal RNA
Rfam family: Bacterial small subunit ribosomal RNA
Source: RNAcentral
UUGUAGUCUGCAACCCGACUACAUGAAGCUGGAAUCGCUAGUAAUCGCGGAUCAGAAUGCCGCGGUGAAUACGUUCCCGGGUCUUGUACACACCGCCCGUCACACCAUGAGAGUCGGAAAUGCCCGAAGUCUGUGACCUAACCGAGAGGGAGGAGCAGCCGAAGGCAGGUCUGAUGACUGGGGUGAAGUCGUAACAAGGUAAC